This is a long non-coding RNA of Rosa rugosa (rugosa rose), 1864 nucleotides long. RefSeq lists it as uncharacterized. The transcript has 4 exons. Lineage: Eukaryota; Viridiplantae; Streptophyta; Magnoliopsida; Rosales; Rosaceae. The record is from RefSeq and is a predicted model, not a curated record.
AAUGCUUUUCAAGCCUUAGCUAAAAACUGGAACUAUAAGAUCUUCGGUAAUUUUUUUCAAAGAAUGAAGAACUUACAUGAUGAAAUUCUACAUAUUCAAAGUCAAGCUCAUACUUCUUAUUAUGAGGAUUUCUUUAGUAAAGAAUAUCACCUACUUUCCCAACUUGAAAUCUUUUUAAAGUAGAAGAAUUAUUUUGGGCUCAGAGAGCCAAAACUAAAUGGCUUCAAUUAGGGGAUAAAAAUAACAAAUUUUUUUCAAAUGCAGGCAACCAUUAAGAAGAAGAGGAAUCAAAUCUUAAGAAUCAAAGAUGACAUAGAUAUUUGGACUAAUGAUCAAGAUCAAAUUGCUUCUAUUCUCAUUAGUUCCUUUAAAAAAUGUUUUACUACCUCUAUUAAUCCAUCUAAAGAAGCUCUAGCAUAUUUCAUUUCACUACUACAGAUUCAGGGUUUAAAGACACCCAGCUAGAAGAAACAAGGACGAUUUUUUAUUUUACUAUCAUUGUAAGCCAUUAACGACGUCACUUGUUAAAAUCCUGGUGAAUACUUAAAGUUGUUGUGCGUUUUUCGUCAAAUAACAAAGAGAAAAACUCUCUCUCUUUCUUUUCUCCCGACCCCUUCUCUCUCCUCACUCAGUACCAAUCUUAGUUCUCAGAUCUCUCCAUCUCUAUUGCACCACGACCUCUAGCAGCUUUCUGGGUCAUCUCUUCAUUAAUCUCUGAGGAAAAACUUGUGAUAUUUUCUUCUUCUUUUGUUUUGGGUAGUAGAUUGGGAAGUGAAAAUUGAAUUCAUAAAGAAUGAAAGUAAAAACAUACGGAAACAUUUUUACGAUAUCGGUUUAUUCGGCCACUUUCAUCCACUUCCACCUAUGGUCUCCAUGGUAAUUCAUUCUCUUCAAUUUAUUCUAUUAGUCAUGAAGUUCUUGUAUCAUUUUAUUAGAGUGACCAUUUUAUUUGCAAUGUUUCAAUUUUACUUGCAUGCUUUUAAGUUAUUUGUUAUACUUGUCUCCAAGUGUGUGUGAUUCAAAUUCAUUUAUAUAGCUUGAUGACAUAUCAUUUACCUGCAUGCUUUUGAUUUCGUCUACCCCUUAUAGCAUGAUGACAUAAAGAAAAUGCAGUAGUAUGCGUUCCCUUCUUAGUCAAAUUGAGAGGUAAAACAUAUCUUUCUCCUCUCCUAAUUGAUAUGAUGUAAUAUAGCAAUAUUGUUGAUUUUCUACUAUAGAUCUUGUGAUCAAAGACUGAAUUUUCUGAAACUAUUGUAAUGUAGGUGCUUAUUCGCAUCAAUUUUAGCUUCAUGAGUAUUCGAAAGACAUGACAUGUUCCUUUAGGCUUACUAUAGAAACUGUUCCUUUUACCAAUUCAGUUUCUCGGCCGUCAGCUCUAUAACUGUUGUCUGAUUUUUUCAAUCAACAAUACUUAAGCAAAGUUACUUGCAUCUGUUUCUUCUAGAGUUCCCUCUUUUACAGGAAUUUGAUGUUUACUUUGGUUUCUGUAUCUUGCAGCGCCCUGCUAUAAUUUCUCCAGGCUUAAUUUGAGUAAUCCCUCCCCUUGUAUCUCUUACUCAAGAUCAAAUAAUGCAUUUGUUUCAGGCAAACAUUCCUGCUGCUUACCUAAGUGCUAAUAUGGAGUAGAGUGAACAACAAGAGAUUAUUCUUAGUGCACUUAACUCUGAAUAUGUUACCCCUGAAAAAGUUGCCAAACUUUAAACUAUAUAAUUGUAGAUGGGAACUUGGUUUGCCCUGCAAAGAUGGGAAGAACUGUAGCUGUAGACAUUUAUAAUAUAUGUGAGAAAUCGUCUUUGGAGUUGAGACCAUUCAUUAAGGCCGUUUGAAAGUGGCAAUGUUUUCUCCAGGUAUGUAACUAUCUAAA